Vigna angularis (adzuki bean) is the source of this 3449-nucleotide long non-coding RNA. RefSeq lists it as uncharacterized. The record is from RefSeq and is a predicted model, not a curated record. Lineage: Eukaryota; Viridiplantae; Streptophyta; Magnoliopsida; Fabales; Fabaceae. The transcript is spliced from 3 exons.
UAAGGUUCGAAAACAGUUUUCGCGUUCAGUCUACCGUUUUCAUCACUGUUCGUGUGGCAUUGCCUGUAGGGCUUCGUUGGUCUAUUGAUUUCAGCACUUGUUUUAGAGCUCCGUUCGUGUACUGGGUGUAGGAUCUCCCUUCGUGCACUAGGUUUAGGAUCCAUUCUCACUUGCGGAGUUGCCGGCGCAAACCCUGAGGGCGAACGAUACUCCUCUGGCCAUCCCUUACAGUGCCAAAUUCUUUAGUACAUGUCUCCUUGCCAAAGUGGCAGCUUUACGAUAGUAGUUGUUCCCCCAUAAUGAGAUUAUGGAAUUUAUUUUUGAACCAUCCAAGCAAUUUAUUUCUCUGCAACCCAUUUUAUUUGUUCUAUUAGGCCAUGCUUUCGUUGUACACAGAUUUCUCUAAGAAGUGUACUGGGCUUGUGCUUAACUGAAGCAAAUUCACGGUGCAACCUUGGUUUGCAAUUCAGUUUGAGUGUAUGCUCAAUUGGUUUUUCAUGGACUUCACAAAGUUUUGGUAACUCACAGAAAUUUUGCAAGCAAUCUGUUGUGUAUAGUUUUAUUUUAACAUAAGAGUUAAAUGGACCCUACUUAUUGUAGAACUGUAGUAAGGACAAUAGAGGCUUGAUGCAACGCAUGUAGUAUCAAUUUGAUACCUUAAAGUUGUAUGGGUGGUUGCCAAGGUUUAUCAUGGCUGUGAAGUGUGGUAAUUCUGUUGACUAUAUGAGAUUAUUGAAUCAUGCUCUGUUGCUUUCACUGGUCUGGUCACAUGAUGUAGGCGUGUGUGAUGGGUUGUUUCUGAAAAUUUUGUUUUUCCUUGACUUAUGAUGAUAAUGUUUGUAUGGUUUUGGGAUAUAAUGUGGUAAGUAUUACAAAUGGUUAGAGUCAGAAAUGAUCUGCAUCUGUUUGCUGCUUAAGUGUGAAUGUGACUAUCUUGCCAUAUUGCUUUAGGACCGAAAUCUGCGUUUCUGAACAAUAAAAUUAGUGUUACGCUCUAUUCAUAAACUUGGAAUUUUUAAAAUGCGUUUUUGAGAAACUAGAGCUAUACAUGAAACAAUUUAUGUGAUGAUUUCCUGUCUAGCAGCCUAAAUAAUUUAUGGAUUAACCUGAGUGAUAUUUUUUAACAAGACCUAUGUGGAGGUAUUUAUCUCAAUGAUAAUUGUUAAUUGGAAUGCAUAAAAACAUAUGUUCUGUUCACUAUUUUAUUUUAAAGAGUAAAUAUGUUUAUAAAUGUUAUACUGGUAUGAUUUUGGGUGUCCAUAAGGAGCAGAUUAAUUAGGAGGGAUGCUUCUAAAUGAUAAAUUGCUGGAAGUCUUGUGCUUUGAGGUGGUAAAUUUUCUUUUCUAAAAUUAUGAAAGAAUUUUCAAUGCAUGCUUAAGUUUAUUUCAGAACUUAAUUCAUAGAUGAUUGAAUGGUAAGAGUGAACUAGGUUUUAAAUUGUUAUGGGUGGUGAAAUUGCUGUGAACAUUUCUGAUGGGUUGAAGGUUGUUCAGUAUAAUCUAAGGGCUUUACUCAACUUGCUGAUAUAUGAGUACUCUGGAUGUUGGCCCUGCUGUAUUGUUAAACAUUAGGUUGUUGAGGUAUGAUCAUAAACUAGUAUUAUGUUGUUUCAACACUCUGAAUCAGUAUUGAUGUUCUGUCUUUUGAUUGAAAAUGACGUGAGAACACUCAACUUGAAUAACAAAACUUGAUUUCAUGAUCUGAAAUGUGUGACAGUGUACAUUAUGUGUCAUAUUGCUCUGUGAUAACCUGUUUUGUAAGGGUUAAUGGUCUACCCAGUGCGGGAUCAAUUAUGGGUAGUAGUUAGAGUGAUUUUAUGUAAAUUCUAUUUAAGUCAGCAUGUACAGGUGUUGUAAUGAUUACGAUUUGGACUAUGCUGCUGUUAAUGUGUGUAUAAUGUGUGUAGUACAGUAUAAUGAUUCUAAAUAAUUGGUUGGAAGUAUAUAUUACUAAGGACCGGUUUUGUAUCUUUACGUAAAUGAGAAGUGCAGAGCUAUUAUGCUACUGCCAAGAAUAAUGGUCUAAGGUCUGACGAUCUAUAGUAAAUUGUAAAAUUGAGUGGUAAGUGUAAAAGAGAAAUUAUAUUACAGUAUGUAUAUGAUAAUUGGAAAAGUGUAGAAUUAUGAUUCUUUAUGUUACGAUUGGUGUUUCUAAAGGAAUGAAGGUCGGGUUUUAAAUAUGUUAUGAUUCUUUAUGUUACAGUAUGUGUUAUGAUUCUUUACGUAUGUGUUAUGAUUCUUUACAGUAUGUGUUAUGAUUCUUUAUGUUACGAUUGCUAAUUCAGAUGGGUAGUUUGAUACUUAAAUGCAUGGUGGGCUUUGGAGAAUUCUGGUUGGGCAUUUCUAGUAAUUAAAAAUUUGAUCUUAGGUGCUUUAUGCAUGUAUGAUAGGUAUGAAUAAUACCUGCUGAAGUUUGAGUCUUUUCUUUGGUCCAAAAUCACGUAUACUACUUGUGGCCUAUGAAGUUUAAUUCUGGAAUUCUAUUUGAGUAGGAAGACUUACAUUUAAAUGCUAGAUCAUGUUGUCGUGUGUGGGCUGUGUCAGGUCUUGUAAAGGGAAACUAACUCUCUAGCUCUAAGUUUUGUGAUGAAAUAAUCGUUUUGUAUCUGGUUUUGGUUGAUGUUCUUAUUUUUUUGUGUGGAAUGAAUUGUGGAUGUGUAUGUCCAUGGGCUGUAAAUUUCUUUCUGUGAUUAUUUGUGUCAUGGAUUGAGGGAGCAGAAUGUCUUGUUUCUUUCCUUUGGGUGCUGAGCCUUGUCUUUGAUUCUGUGAAAUGUGAUGUUAUAUAACUGGGUGGCUUUUCUUUAUGAUGGCUGUAUCCUGAAUGCAGUUAACAUACUUUGUGAUUGGGAGUAGAUUUUUGGUUAUGAUUGGUUAUAUAUGUAUGUGACGUUCAUUGUUUUUAUUGGUCUGAGUUGGAGUUUAUCUGGUGCAAUACAUAAAUUAGUUAUUGUUAAGAAGUGGACUUUAAACCUAACUUAACCCCACAAAAUCGGCUUAUAAAGUGAAGUUUGCAUCCACACACACCCCUCACACUGAGGUAUAAGCAUCAUCUUGAGUGUGAAACUAGACAUUAAUGGGUGGUCCGAUAGCGGGUGAGACAAUAUAUCCAACAAACAACAAAUAUCGCUAGGAUAGGCUGACUCUGAUACCAUGUUAAGAAGUGGACUUUGAGCCUAACUCAAACUUACAAAAUCGACUUAUAAGAUGAGGUCUGCAUCCACUUAUAUAUUAUAAAUUGGUCUUAUCUCUAGUCGAUGUGAGACUUUCAACAGUUAUCAUAUCACUCUAUUUCGGUACGAAACCUUUCUGCUAGUAUAAGAGACUUGAUUUCCUGAUUAAUUGGAUGGUUGUAGCAAUUUAAUAUUUUUCGUUAGUUAAGAACACUACAAAAAAGAAGGGUAUUACCGAAGGCUAGAAGCCCUCGGAAAUAGUCAGUACAAGGUAAUUACA